GACCUAGCUUUGAUACCAUGUAAAGAUAUGCACUAGGCAUAGCUCAACCCCAUAGUUAGGGAUAGAACUCUCGAGAAAUGAUGGAUAUUGUAUAAAAUAGUAUUAUUUAUGGGGCAGUGCUAAAUUCUGACAUUUUUUAACAUCCCAAAAUGGGAAAAAAGAAGUGCUGUAAAUUUCCUUGAACAUGUAAAAACAAGAACUAAGACUCGAGUAGAAUUCUGCCUUAGAGUGGCUUCAUCACAAAAUUAGAAUUUCCCUAGAAGGAAGAGAUAUCACUCAUUGACAACAACAUAAACCAGAUGGAUGAAGUCAAAGCAGAACCUUCCUAGCCUUGAUAAUGGCUCCAUGUUACAUUCUUUCUCGGUUUUAUGCUUAGUGUUCAUGGUUUUGUUUCUCUGUUUUCAUCUGUGAACCAAACCCAGAUCAAAACAAAUAACCACUUCCUUGUUUCGGUUUUGUUGGUUUUUCCCACAUGAAAAUACAAAUUCAUUUCAUUAUCUACUAGAGCUAAGACAUAAUUUCUCAUGUGUUCAUGUUUAUCGAGAAUCAAACAACUUGAUUAAACCUACUAUCUAUUAAAAGCAUAUAUCUGUGACAAAUUUCACUAUGAGACGUGACAACUAUUCACUUCCAUAGAACAAACAACCUUGAUCCAC
This 656-nucleotide long non-coding RNA is filed under the name Solanum tuberosum (potato). Its description in RNAcentral is "long non-coding RNA (STUB_LNC010526)". The record is from RNAcentral. Lineage: Eukaryota; Viridiplantae; Streptophyta; Magnoliopsida; Solanales; Solanaceae.